AUUGUCGAAAGGGAAGCGCUUGAAGUCAGCCAUGCUGCUUGAGACUCAGCCUUGCUUUUGCUUGGUGUAUUUCUCGGUAGCAAGCCAGCAUUGGUUCGAGUCGUCGGAGAAGGGUAUGAGAAAUGUGGCAUCCUCGGAUGUGUUAUAGACUUGUACUGGAUACGACGAUUUGGAUCAAGGAACGCAGUGUGCCUCUGGCGGGUCUUCGGACACCUUCAC
This 219-nucleotide ribosomal RNA is filed under the name Malassezia pachydermatis. RNAcentral's name for it is "partial large subunit ribosomal RNA". The record is from RNAcentral. Lineage: Eukaryota; Fungi; Basidiomycota; Malasseziomycetes; Malasseziales; Malasseziaceae.